Molecule: transfer RNA, 69 nt
Filed under: Ictidomys tridecemlineatus (thirteen-lined ground squirrel)
Lineage: Eukaryota; Metazoa; Chordata; Mammalia; Rodentia; Sciuridae
Description: Spermophilus tridecemlineatus (thirteen-lined ground squirrel) tRNA
Rfam family: tRNA
About the family: Transfer RNA (tRNA) molecules are approximately 80 nucleotides in length. Their secondary structure includes four short double-helical elements and three loops (D, anti-codon, and T loops). Further hydrogen bonds mediate the characteristic L-shaped molecular structure. tRNAs have two regions of fundamental functional importance: the anti-codon, which is responsible for specific mRNA codon recognition, and the 3' end, to which the tRNAs corresponding amino acid is attached (by aminoacyl-tRNA synthetases). tRNAs cope with the degeneracy of the genetic code in two manners: having more than one tRNA (with a specific anti-codon) for a particular amino acid; and 'wobble' base-pairing, i.e. permitting non-standard base-pairing at the 3rd anti-codon position.
Source: Rfam by way of RNAcentral
GGGGCUGUGGCUCAGUGGUAGAGCACUCGCCUGGCAUGUGUGAGGCACUGGGUUCGAUCCUCAGCACCA